Molecule: ribosomal RNA, 463 nt
Filed under: Mucronaria acuminata
Lineage: Eukaryota; Metazoa; Mollusca; Gastropoda; Stylommatophora; Clausiliidae
Description: partial 16S ribosomal RNA
Rfam family: Archaeal large subunit ribosomal RNA (bases 1-192)
Source: RNAcentral
UGCUAAGUGUUUAUUUAUCCUUAGUUUGCUCUGCCCAGUGAUUGAAUAAUUAAACGGCCGCAGUACACUGACUGUGCAAAGGUAGCAUAAUCAUUUGGCUUUUAAAUGAAGUCGGGUAUGAACGAGUUAAUGGGGGAGCACUGUCUAUGUUGAUUAUUAAUUGAAUUUACUUUAGAAAGUGCAAAUUCUUUCAAUCACUUUUAAUAGACGAGAAGACCCUAUAAAUUUAUACUAAUCAGUAUAUUUUUAUACUUUAGUUUUUGUUGGGGCAACAAGUUAACAUAAUAAUUAAAUUUAACUAAUUUUUAACACCUUAUCUGGCCGAGUGAAUUACUAGAUAAAAUAAAAUUACUUUAGGGAUAACAACAUAAUUUUAAUAAAAAGAUUGUGACCUCGAUGUUGGACUAGGAACUAAUUAAAUCAAACAUAUAAUUAGAAGGUUCUGUUCGAACCCGUUGUACCU